AUGAACGCUAGCGGGAGGCCUAACACAUGCAAGUCGAACGGGAUUGAGAGCUUGCUCUCAUGAGAGUGGCGCACGGGUGAGUAACGCGUAUGCAACCUACCUAUAACUGAGGGAUAGCCCAUAGAAAUGUGGAUUAAUACCUCAUAGUUCUUUUGUUCCGCAUGGGAUGAAAGAUAAAGCUCCGGCGGUUAUAGAUGGGCAUGCGUGACAUUAGCUAGUUGGUAAGGUAACGGCUUACCAAGGCUACGAUGUCUAGGGGUUCUGAGAGGAUGAUCCCCCACACUGGUACUGAGACACGGACCAGACUCCUACGGGAGGCAGCAGUGAGGAAUAUUGGUCAAUGGGCGCAAGCCUGAACCAGCCAUCCCGCGUGCAGGAUGAAGGCCCUAUGGGUCGUAAACUGCUUUUAUACACCAAGAAAAACACCCACGUGUGGGUGCCCGACGGUAGUGUAUGAAUAAGCAUCGGCUAACUCCGU
RNAcentral lists this ribosomal RNA (478 nucleotides) under uncultured bacterium. RNAcentral's name for it is "bacterial SSU rRNA". It matches the Rfam family "Bacterial small subunit ribosomal RNA", at positions 29 to 506 of the family's 1533-position model. The record is from RNAcentral.